This 66-nucleotide transfer RNA is filed under the name Bulinus ugandae. RNAcentral's name for it is "tRNA-His". The record is from RNAcentral. Lineage: Eukaryota; Metazoa; Mollusca; Gastropoda; Planorbidae.
UUAAAAGUAAGUUAAUUUUUAAAACUAUAGAUCUGUGGAGUCUAAAAACCAUCAAUGGCUUUUGAG